Molecule: ribosomal RNA, 186 nt
Filed under: uncultured bacterium
Lineage: Bacteria
Description: partial 16S ribosomal RNA
Rfam family: Bacterial small subunit ribosomal RNA
Source: RNAcentral
GCCUUCAUGAAGCCGGAAUUGCUAGUAAUGGCAGGUCAGCAUACUGCCGUGAAUACGUUCCCGGGCCUUGUACACACCGCCCGUCACACCAUGAGAGUUGGGAAUACCCGAAGCCUGUGAGCUAACUUAUAGAGGCAGCAGUCGAAGGUAGAAUCAAUGAUUGGGGUGAAGUCGUAACAAGGUACC